CAUUCUUCCGGAAGACGUCCCCCAAGAAGAGCUAGGUGAGGGCUCACCUAUUCUCACCGAAGCAAGCGGAUAAAUGCUCUGCCUCACUUUCCAGUCGAUCCCCGGCGAAGACCCCGAGCUUUCCAAAACCCUAGCCUCUUGGGAAAGAGGAAUCCAAACCCGCAGCUUCUCACUUGGUCACUCUUCUCUCCGCCGGCGAAUCGAAUUGGGUCGGGGGAUUGAUCAGUCCCGGUGAUCUCUGGUGGUGAGCGGCGGCGGCGGCGGCGGCGGUGAUGGACUUCUUGGAGGGGAACCUGGAGCUGAGGGAGAGGCAGAGGCUGGAAGGCCACACCGAUCGCGUUUGGAGCCUAGCGUGGAAUCCAGCAACCGGAGUCUGUGGGAUUCCGGCCAUGCUGGCCUCUUGCAGCGGCGACAAGACCGUCAGGAUCUGGCAGCAGGGUCCAUCUGGUUCUUGGGAUUGCUCGGCUGUUUUGGAAGAUAAUCAUACUCGCACAGUCAGGUCUUGUGCAUGGUCUCCUAGUGGAAAGUUACUGGCAACAGCAAGUUUUGAUGCUACCACUGCUAUAUGGGAAUGUGUCGGUGGUGACUUUGAAUGUGUUGCUACACUGGAGGGUCAUGAAAAUGAAGUUAAGAGUGUUUCAUGGGAUGCUUCUGGCUCCUUGCUAGCCACAUGUGGUCGAGACAAGACUGUUUGGAUAUGGGAAAUGCAACCUGGUAAUGAGUUUGAGUGUGUAUCUGUGUUGCAAGGUCAUACCCAGGAUGUCAAGAUGGUGCAAUGGCAUCCAUUUAUGGAGGUUCUGGUUUCUGUCAGCUAUGACAACUCAGUCAAGAUCUGGGCAGAGGAUGGUGACAGUGAUGAUUGGCAUUGUGUGCAAACACUAAAUGAAGCUAGCAGUGGUCAUACAUCAACAGUUUGGGCAGUGUCUUUCAACUCUAAUGGAGAUAGAAUGGCUACCUGCAGUGAUGAUCUGACAUUAAAGAUAUGGGACACUAGUGCUAAAGCAUCUGAGACAAGUGGCAGUAGCUGUGGAUCUUGGGUAACCCAGUAUUCCUUUUAUUUGGACUUAUUCUGUGACGCAAGGGACAAAAGGAGACACCUCUGUACCAUCUCUGGUUAUCAUGAUCGAACCAUAUUUUCAGUUAAUUGGUCAAGGGACGGUGUCAUCGCUAGUGGAGCAGCUGAUGAUGCUAUUCGUCUUUUUUUUGAGAGCAAAGACAACUCGGUUGAUGUACCGUCGUACAAAUUACUGCUUAAGAAAGAAAAGGCCCAUGACAUGGAUGUAAAACUCAGUGCAAUGGAAUCCAAAGGAACCUAAACUUCUGGCCUCAGCUAGUGAUGAUGGGAUAAUAAAGAUAUGGGAACUAUCGGAAGUAGCCUGAUGAUAAUUUUUGCAGUGUGCAGGGCCUGCAGGCCGAUGUCUGAUGUCUUUAAUUUAAUUUUUGGGUCUGCAUAGGAAUUGAAAUGUCAAGCACACGAUAGUCUCAAAGUGCUACUACGAGACUUGUAGCAUAACUAUUUUACUCGUUUUGCAUCUCCGAACUCCUGGGGGAGAGAGAGAGAGGGACAGAAUCUGCUGGCCUAUUGAAAACUCUUUUUAUAGUACUUCAUUCUUCUUCGUAGCUUCAAAAUAAAUGUAUUUACGAAGUUCAAGAGCUUUA
Molecule: RNA transcript, 1659 nt
Organism: Phoenix dactylifera (date palm)
Lineage: Eukaryota; Viridiplantae; Streptophyta; Magnoliopsida; Arecales; Arecaceae
Gene name: protein CIA1
Source: RefSeq, a predicted model, not a curated record